RNAcentral lists this ribosomal RNA (2901 nucleotides) under Escherichia coli. RNAcentral's name for it is "23S ribosomal RNA". It matches the Rfam family "Bacterial large subunit ribosomal RNA". The record is from RNAcentral. Lineage: Bacteria; Pseudomonadati; Pseudomonadota; Gammaproteobacteria; Enterobacterales; Enterobacteriaceae.
UUAAGCGACUAAGCGUACACGGUGGAUGCCCUGGCAGUCAGAGGCGAUGAAGGACGUGCUAAUCUGCGAUAAGCGUCGGUAAGGUGAUAUGAACCGUUAUAACCGGCGAUUUCCGAAUGGGGAAACCCAGUGUGAUUCGUCACACUAUCAUUAACUGAAUCCAUAGGUUAAUGAGGCGAACCGGGGGAACUGAAACAUCUAAGUACCCCGAGGAAAAGAAAUCAACCGAGAUUCCCCCAGUAGCGGCGAGCGAACGGGGAGCAGCCCAGAGCCUGAAUCAGUGUGUGUGUUAGUGGAAGCGUCUGGAAAGGCGCGCGAUACAGGGUGACAGCCCCGUACACAAAAAUGCACAUGCUGUGAGCUCGAUGAGUAGGGCGGGACACGUGGUAUCCUGUCUGAAUAUGGGGGGACCAUCCUCCAAGGCUAAAUACUCCUGACUGACCGAUAGUGAACCAGUACCGUGAGGGAAAGGCGAAAAGAACCCCGGCGAGGGGAGUGAAAAAGAACCUGAAACCGUGUACGUACAAGCAGUGGGAGCACGCUUAGGCGUGUGACUGCGUACCUUUUGUAUAAUGGGUCAGCGACUUAUAUUCUGUAGCAAGGUUAACCGAAUAGGGGAGCCGAAGGGAAACCGAGUCUUAACUGGGCGUUAAGUUGCAGGGUAUAGACCCGAAACCCGGUGAUCUAGCCAUGGGCAGGUUGAAGGUUGGGUAACACUAACUGGAGGACCGAACCGACUAAUGUUGAAAAAUUAGCGGAUGACUUGUGGCUGGGGGUGAAAGGCCAAUCAAACCGGGAGAUAGCUGGUUCUCCCCGAAAGCUAUUUAGGUAGCGCCUCGUGAAUUCAUCUCCGGGGGUAGAGCACUGUUUCGGCAAGGGGGUCAUCCCGACUUACCAACCCGAUGCAAACUACGAAUACCGGAGAAUGUUAUCACGGGAGACACACGGCGGGUGCUAACGUCCGUCGUGAAGAGGGAAACAACCCAGACCGCCAGCUAAGGUCCCAAAGUCAUGGUUAAGUGGGAAACGAUGUGGGAAGGCCCAGACAGCCAGGAUGUUGGCUUAGAAGCAGCCAUCAUUUAAAGAAAGCGUAAUAGCUCACUGGUCGAGUCGGCCUGCGCGGAAGAUGUAACGGGGCUAAACCAUGCACCGAAGCUGCGGCAGCGACGCUUAUGCGUUGUUGGGUAGGGGAGCGUUCUGUAAGCCUGCGAAGGUGUGCUGUGAGGCAUGCUGGAGGUAUCAGAAGUGCGAAUGCUGACAUAAGUAACGAUAAAGCGGGUGAAAAGCCCGCUCGCCGGAAGACCAAGGGUUCCUGUCCAACGUUAAUCGGGGCAGGGUGAGUCGACCCCUAAGGCGAGGCCGAAAGGCGUAGUCGAUGGGAAACAGGUUAAUAUUCCUGUACUUGGUGUUACUGCGAAGGGGGGACGGAGAAGGCUAUGUUGGCCGGGCGACGGUUGUCCCGGUUUAAGCGUGUAGGCUGGUUUUCCAGGCAAAUCCGGAAAAUCAAGGCUGAGGCGUGAUGACGAGGCACUACGGUGCUGAAGCAACAAAUGCCCUGCUUCCAGGAAAAGCCUCUAAGCAUCAGGUAACAUCAAAUCGUACCCCAAACCGACACAGGUGGUCAGGUAGAGAAUACCAAGGCGCUUGAGAGAACUCGGGUGAAGGAACUAGGCAAAAUGGUGCCGUAACUUCGGGAGAAGGCACGCUGAUAUGUAGGUGAAGUCCCUCGCGGAUGGAGCUGAAAUCAGUCGAAGAUACCAGCUGGCUGCAACUGUUUAUUAAAAACACAGCACUGUGCAAACACGAAAGUGGACGUAUACGGUGUGACGCCUGCCCGGUGCCGGAAGGUUAAUUGAUGGGGUUAGCGCAAGCGAAGCUCUUGAUCGAAGCCCCGGUAAACGGCGGCCGUAACUAUAACGGUCCUAAGGUAGCGAAAUUCCUUGUCGGGUAAGUUCCGACCUGCACGAAUGGCGUAAUGAUGGCCAGGCUGUCUCCACCCGAGACUCAGUGAAAUUGAACUCGCUGUGAAGAUGCAGUGUACCCGCGGCAAGACGGAAAGACCCCGUGAACCUUUACUAUAGCUUGACACUGAACAUUGAGCCUUGAUGUGUAGGAUAGGUGGGAGGCUUUGAAGUGUGGACGCCAGUCUGCAUGGAGCCGACCUUGAAAUACCACCCUUUAAUGUUUGAUGUUCUAACGUUGACCCGUAAUCCGGGUUGCGGACAGUGUCUGGUGGGUAGUUUGACUGGGGCGGUCUCCUCCUAAAGAGUAACGGAGGAGCACGAAGGUUGGCUAAUCCUGGUCGGACAUCAGGAGGUUAGUGCAAUGGCAUAAGCCAGCUUGACUGCGAGCGUGACGGCGCGAGCAGGUGCGAAAGCAGGUCAUAGUGAUCCGGUGGUUCUGAAUGGAAGGGCCAUCGCUCAACGGAUAAAAGGUACUCCGGGGAUAACAGGCUGAUACCGCCCAAGAGUUCAUAUCGACGGCGGUGUUUGGCACCUCGAUGUCGGCUCAUCACAUCCUGGGGCUGAAGUAGGUCCCAAGGGUAUGGCUGUUCGCCAUUUAAAGUGGUACGCGAGCUGGGUUUAGAACGUCGUGAGACAGUUCGGUCCCUAUCUGCCGUGGGCGCUGGAGAAUUGAGGGGGGCUGCUCCUAGUACGAGAGGACCGGAGUGGACGCAUCACUGGUGUUCGGGUUGUCAUGCCAAUGGCACUGCCCGGUAGCUAAAUGCGGAAGAGAUAAGUGCUGAAAGCAUCUAAGCACGAAACUUGCCCCGAGAUGAGUUCUCCCUGACUCCUUGAGAGUCCUGAAGGAACGUUGAAGACGACGACGUUGAUAGGCCGGGUGUGUAAGCGCAGCGAUGCGUUGAGCUAACCGGUACUAAUGAACCGUGAGGCUUAACCU